GCACGUCGCACGCCGCGUCGCGAAGGGCCGAGUUUGAGUGAAUUUUUCCCUUGUUUGAAGUGUGCUUGCGCCUUGUGCUCGUCCUGUGUGUUCUACCGGUGCUGCUUAUUACGAGGAUGCGCUAUACUCAAGCGAAGACCGGCUGCUUCAUAUCGUGGAGCACUCACCAGGUUGCAUCCCUUCUCGGAUCUGGAUCAUGGCUUUCCGUGCGCCAUUCCUGCACUCAGCCGUACGGGCCGACACUGCCCUCCUCGGCGGGCAUCAUCUCACGUGGCGCUGCUGGUUUUUGUAAUCCAGUUUGGUUUCAUGGCUCGACAACGGCUAUCAUCCAAGAUAACGACGUGGGAUAUAACUGCCUACCUCGGACUUCCGCAGUUGGGCACGACACCGUUUCCACGAUGGUGCGCUUACCGGUACUGCUAACGCAGGUUGCAUCCCUUCUCGGAUCUGGAUCAUGGCUUUCCGUGCGCCAUUCCUGCACUCAGCCGUACGGGCCGACACUGCCCUCCUCGGCGGGCAUCAUCUCACGUGGCGCUGCUGGUUUUUGUAAUCCAGUUUGGUUUCAUGGCUCGACAACGGCUAUCAUCCAAGAUAACGACGUGGGAUAUAACUGCCUACCUCGGACUUCCGCAGUUGGGCACGACACCGUUUCCACGAUGGUGCGCUUACCGGUACUGCUAACGCAGCCACGUGCUCCUUGUACAAAGUGAGUGUGAAAGAAAUCCGGACAAGCCUGUCAUCAAUGGUGGCUCAUGGACAAGUUCGUUGCUGAUGUACAGCAGCUGCGCAUGGCUUCUGUUUCCUGUACAAGGGGAACUGCACUGAGAACAGCGGAGUGGGCACUUCAACCACCUGUUUGCUGUAUUCAAGUAGCUCACAUGUAGAGGGUGUUCAAAAUUAAGCUUUUUGUUUUUCUUAUAAAAAAGUCCGCGCACUGUAAGUCACGUCAAAGCCACCUUUGCAGAUAAGUUAUUAUCCAGGGGGACACAAAGUGGGACAAUAAUUAUCGCUGUCAGCCGUGCAAUUAACUGACAUUCAAUAAUGAACUUUUUUAGUGACUGCAGCAAGCGGGCAUGUAUGUAUUAAGAAGUUUGAGCCAGCUGCAUUUCUACACGAUUCCACUUCAAAGAAUUCUUCUAGCAUGUCUGGGCUCAGAUAUCCUGCUGCAAAGUUUAAUUCCGGCUUGCAUCAUUACACAUGCAGGACCUUGAGCACUGGCACAAGGCUGGAUGGCCCUGAUGUGCCAGGUUUAAUGUUACAGCGGGUAGAAGGCAUAGGCAAACAUGAUAACGGUUACCCUUUUCCUGCGGGCUGGUGAUAGCAAGCAGUGACUGCUCGUCAUACCAGGGAGUAAUAUUUUGCUGAUCCUCACUGCCUUGUAUCAUGCAAACCACAAUUAAACUUUGCAGCGGGAUAUCUCGCAGCACAGACAUGCUAGAAGAAUUCUUCCAAGUGGGACUGUGUAGAAACACGACUGCCUCCAACUUUUCAAUACAAAGAUGCCCGCUUGCUGUAGUCACUAAAAAUUUCAUUAUUUAAUCUUAGUUAAUUGGGCGGCUGACAGCGGUAAUGUCUUACUUUGUGUCCCCAUGGACACAUAACUUACCUGCAAAGUUGGUUUUCAUGUUUUUCCCAGGGCUGAAUUUUAAUGCAACCAUAAAGCACAAUCCUGAAUGUGUCAAUGCUGCUUCCUUAGCUUUGUAUUUUGUCUUUUCAAAAUCUAUUGAGUGAGCGGCUCUCUCGACUCGUGUGUCCUGUUUUCAUUCAUAUCUUAUGUGCAGUUAUCAUUUUUAAAAUUGAACUUUCAAUUUUAUGAUAAGGCAGUAGUGCAUCAAUUCACUAUUUUAUUUUCACCUUAAUAUUCACCGUACAUUUUGUAAUAUUUUUUUUUCAUCAGAGUCAAUUUUUUUAUUUUAUUUGUACAAGUACCUGAAGCGCCACGAGGGCAUUAUUGCAGGGGGAACUGCAAUAAUGCUUUUCUAAUCAUACAUAUUCCAUUGUCUUCCGGAAAUUCAUUUCCUAAGUGCAAUCAUGUGAUGUCCUGCUAUGAUGCCUAAUCAUAUUUAACUUUGUUAAUAACUUACAGAAGGCAUUCUGAAAUAUUGAAAUGUAAGUCUCGGCAUUGGGAGAUGAAUGGUGGCGACAUUUUUUAAACUACACUAUUUUGUCUGCUUGCUUUAGUUGUGUGAAGUAUAGUAAUAAUAAGUGUUUGGAUUUAACCACGAUAUGAUUAUGAGGGAUGUCGUAGUGGAGGGCUCCUGAAAUUUCGACCACCUGGGUUCUAUAAGGUGCACCUAAAUCUAAGUAGAUGGGCCUCAAACAUUUCUUCCUCGAUCGAAAAUGUGGCCACCACGGCCGGGAUUUGAUCGCGUGACCCUCGGUUCAGCAGUCAAGGGUGACACACAGUGUACUACUUUUGUGUGGGCUAUAGUUUGCUUUAAAAUAUGCAUGCUAAGUAUGGCAUUUUGGUGCCAACCACGCAUCUCUGGUAGUGCACUGAUGUUGUGUUUGUCACAUUCCUAAUUUAUUGCAGUAUUUAAUUUUAGCAUGCAUUUAUUGUGAGCAGCUCUGGGUAGCGCACUGACGUUUGUCACAUUCCUCAUUUAUUGCAGUAUUUUUUAUUUGUGUAUUUAUUCUGAGUUUGUUGUGAAGUUAUGAUUGUUCCACUUCUUCCACUCUAGAAGGUUGCAUACAUUUGUAAUUAACCCAUGAAGCCCAACAAGUCAAUCUGAUACACUUAGGUGUGCAAAGCUUAUCUCAGAAGCCCAUAGUGUUUAUAAUGCCUUGGGAAGUGCCUCUUGGUCAUAAAUUGCUGUCAUGAUGAGUUUCUUAAAACAUUUGUUUUUCUGUUUUUCAGAAAUGAAUGUACUCUUCAUUACCAAAAAAGAUGCAGAACAAGUUAAACCUUUUAAAAUGUUAAUGAUGUGUUGAGGCGUUAUGGGGUUAAAGCUGAUCUGUUAAUCUUAUUUUUCUUCAACCGCCGACAUAUGUACGUUGCCAGUUUGAAUAUUGUCUAUGAAGUGCUCUAAUCUGUAGAGUGUAAAUGAUAAUAAAUGAGUAAUAUUGCAGA
Long non-coding RNA from Rhipicephalus sanguineus (brown dog tick), 3070 nucleotides. RefSeq lists it as uncharacterized. The record is from RefSeq and is a predicted model, not a curated record. The transcript has 3 exons. NCBI's taxonomy places the organism in Eukaryota, Metazoa, Arthropoda, Arachnida, Ixodida, Ixodidae.